UACGGAGGAUGCGAGCGUUAUCCGGAUUUAUUGGGUUUAAAGGGUGCGCAGGCGGCGUGUCAAGUCAGCGGUAAAAUGUCGGGGCUCAACCCCGGCCGGCCGUUGAAACUGGCGUGCUCGAGUUGGAGAGAAGUAUGCGGAAUUCGUGGUGUAGCGGUGAAAUGCACAGAUAUCACGAAGAACCCCGAUUGCGAAGGCAGCAUACCGGCUCCACACUGACGCUGAGGCACGAAAGCGUGGGUAUCGAACAGG
Molecule: ribosomal RNA, 252 nt
Filed under: uncultured bacterium
Lineage: Bacteria
Description: partial 16S ribosomal RNA
Rfam family: Bacterial small subunit ribosomal RNA
Source: RNAcentral